Molecule: ribosomal RNA, 467 nt
Filed under: uncultured bacterium
Lineage: Bacteria
Description: partial 16S ribosomal RNA
Rfam family: Bacterial small subunit ribosomal RNA
Source: RNAcentral
ACGCACGCUGGCGGCGUGCUUCACACAUGCCCGUCGAACGGAAAGGCCCUGCUUUUGUGGGGUGCUCGAGUGGCGAACGGGUGAGUAACACGUGAGUAACCUGCCCUUGACUUUGGGAUAACUUCAGGAAACGGGGGCUAAUACCGGAUAGGAGCUCCUGCUGCAUGGUGGGGGUUGGAAAGUUUCGGCGGUUGGGGAUGGACUCGCGGCUUAUCAGCUUGUUGGUGGGGUAGUGGCUUACCAAGGCUUUGACGGGUAGCCGGCCUGGGAGGGUGACCGGCCACAUUGGGACUGAGAUACGGCCCAGACUCCUACGGGAGGCAGCAGUGGGGAAUAUUGCACAAUGGGCGGAAGCCUGAUGCAGCAACGCCGCGUGCGGGAUGACGGCCUUCGGGUUGUAAACCGCUUUCGCCUGUGACGAAGCGUGAGUGACGGUAAUGGGUAAAGAAGCACCGGCUAACUACGUG